UCGCAGAUCAGAAUGCUGCGGUGAAUGCGUUCCCGGGUCUUGUACACACCGCCCGUCACACCACGGGAGUUGGAGACGCCCGAAGCCGAUUAUCUAACCUUUUGGAAGAAGUCGUCGAAGGUGGAAUUAAUAACUGGGGUGAAGUCGUAACAAGGUAGCCGUAUCGGAAGGUGCGGCUGGAUCACCUCCUUU
RNAcentral lists this ribosomal RNA (192 nucleotides) under Clostridioides difficile. RNAcentral describes it as "partial 16S ribosomal RNA". It matches the Rfam family "Bacterial small subunit ribosomal RNA", at positions 1342 to 1533 of the family's 1533-position model. The record is from RNAcentral. Lineage: Bacteria; Bacillati; Bacillota; Clostridia; Peptostreptococcales; Peptostreptococcaceae.